This 71-nucleotide small RNA is filed under the name Caenorhabditis briggsae. RNAcentral describes it as "snoRNA CBG29669". It matches the Rfam family "Nematode sRNA ceN72-3_ceN74-2". The record is from Rfam by way of RNAcentral. Lineage: Eukaryota; Metazoa; Nematoda; Chromadorea; Rhabditida; Rhabditidae.
UCUGUCGGUCCGGAACCAGUGGGUUACCUUUGAAACUUUGAAACCCCCACUGGUGCUAACUUGACCGUUGC